AGUCUAAACACCUUGACGAAAGUCUAUUGGAGGGCAAGUCUGGUGCCAGCAGCCGCGGUAAUACCAGCUCCAAUAGCGUAUAUUAACGUUGUUGCAGUUAAAAAGCUCGUAGUUGGAUUUCUGGUUAGGUAAGCCGAGUUUUGUGCCUCAACAGGUGCGAUAACUUGUAGUUCUUCCUGCCAUCAUUCGUGGAGAUUUUAUGUUACUUUAAUUAGUAAUAUAAAGGAUCCCGAUCAAUUACUUUGAAAAAAUUAGAGUGUUCAAAGCAAGCGUAUGCUCUGAAUACAUUAGCAUGGAAUAAUAAAGUAGGACUUUUGUCUUGUUUUGUUGGUUUAAGGAUGAAAGUAAUGAUUGAUAGGGAUAGUUGGGGGUGCUCGUAUUCAACGGCCAGAGGUGAAAUUCAAUGAUUCGUUGAAGACGAACUACUGCGAAAGCAUUCACCAAGGAUGUCUUCUUUAAUCAAGAACGAGAGUUGGGGGAUCGAAGACGAUCAGAUACCGUCGUAGUCUCAACCAUAAACUAUGCCAACUAGGGAUUGGUGGGCGUGUUUAACCCCAUCAGCACCUUAAGAGAAAUCAAAGUCUUUGGGUUCCGGGGGGAGUAUGGUCGCAAGGCUGAAACUUAAAGGAAUUGACGGAAGGGCACCACAAGGAGUGGAGCCUGCGGCUUAAUUUGACCCAACACGGGAAAACUUACCAGGUCCAGACACAGGGAGGAUUGACAGAUUGAAGAUCUUUCAUGAUUCUGUGGGUGGUGGUGCAUGGCCGUUCUUAGUUGGUGGAGUGAUUUGUCUGGUUAAUUCCGAUAACGAACGAGACCUCAGCCUGCUAAAUAGUUAUGCGAAUUACUUUUGUGAUUCGUGAUAACUUCUUAGAGGGACUUUUGGUUCACUAGCCAAAGGAAGUAUGAGGCAAUAACAGGUCUGUGAUGCCCUUAGAUGUUCUGGGCUGCACGCGCGCUACACUGGCACGCUCAACAAGCUAUCCAAGAUCGGAAGAUCUCGGUAGUCUUUGAAAGCGUGCCGUGAUUGGGCUAGAUUAUUGCAAUUAUUAAUCUUAAACGAGGAAUUCCUAGUAAACGCAAGUCAUCAGCUUGCAUUGAUUACGUCCAUGCCCUUUGUACACACCGCCCGUCGCUCCUACCGAUUGAAUGAUCCGGUGAAAUCUCGGGAUUGUGGAACAUAUUAAUUGUUUCGUAAGAACUUGAUUAAACCUUAUCGUUUAGAGGAAGGAGAAGUCGUAACAAGGU
Molecule: ribosomal RNA, 1248 nt
Filed under: metagenome
Description: SSU rRNA
Rfam family: Eukaryotic small subunit ribosomal RNA
Source: RNAcentral